UACUCUAUGAAUCUAGUGGAAUCAUUUCUGCACAAACUCGACUACUGAAAUCAGUGUGCGGAAAUGCUUCUGCUACAUUUUUAGGGUCUC
Molecule: microRNA precursor, 90 nt
Organism: Chrysemys picta bellii (western painted turtle)
Lineage: Eukaryota; Metazoa; Chordata; Testudines; Emydidae
Source: Ensembl